AAAAACAUUUCUUAUAGAUUGAUGGUUAUAAGUAAAAUCUGCUCAAUGAUGCUUAUUAAAUAGCCGCAGAUCCCUGUGCUAAGGUAGCAUAAUCACUUGUUUUUUAAUUGAAAACUAGAAUGAAAGAUUUAAUAUCUGUAUUCCUUUAUUCCUUUAAGCUCCUAAAAUUUUGUUAAAUGUAAGAAUUCAUUUAUGCUUUAAAAAGACGACAAGACCCUAUCGAACUUUACUUCUGUUUUGCUGGGGCAGCAAAUUAAUUAUACUUUUAAUUUUUGUUCAUCCUCGUUACCAAAAAGACCCAUUACUCAAUGACCAAAUGAAUAACGUUACCGUAGGGAUAACAGCGUGAUCCAUAUUUAUAGCUCUUAUAGAAAUAAGGGAUUGCGACCUCGAUGUUGAAUUAAUAUUUCUUUUAUAGGCAGCAUUAUACAAAGUGGGUCUGUUCGACCCUUAAUAUAUUACGUGAUCUGAGUUCAGACCGG
This 482-nucleotide ribosomal RNA is filed under the name Meta menardi. Its description in RNAcentral is "partial 16S ribosomal RNA". It matches the Rfam family "Bacterial large subunit ribosomal RNA", at positions 1809 to 2619 of the family's 2925-position model. The record is from RNAcentral. Lineage: Eukaryota; Metazoa; Arthropoda; Arachnida; Araneae; Tetragnathidae.